GGUAUGUAAAAAUCGGAGUUCGUAUACGAAAGUUAUGGCCAAAAUACUAAAGUUACUGUUCAUAGUAAGUUUCUAUAAAUAGCCGAGUUACUCUCCCCGAUUCUCUCUUCCUCUCCGACCUCUUCACCUUCUUCCGGCCAUAACUCCUCCAUCCGGCGACGGAUUUUGAAGUGUAAGAUGUCGUUGGAAAGCUCUCUUCCUUCUCUUCAUUUCUGGGUUCGUUUCGUAGCUUAAUAUGAACUGUGGAAGGUGCAGCAACGAGAAGAAGAGGACGGUCACUGUAGCAGUUUUGAGUCAACGCCGAUAUUUUCCGAUUCCGGCAGUCUCCGGCCACAAAAUUGGCGUCGAAGGGUUCUUGGAAUUUCUGGAAAAUUUUCACCGGCCAAAUUGGAGCUCUUCCAGGGCAAUGCCGCGAGCUACGGUUAAAUGAAGGAACUCGUUUGCGUGGUCGCCCAAUAGUACUUUUGCAGGCGAAAUUAGUUGAGGUCGGGCGUACAUGGAGUCGAGGCAUAGCCAACAGCAUUGCUUCCGCGUACUCAUUCUAUUUCUGUUUUCUUUGUUACCUAGUGGAUUAGUAUUGCUCUGAUAACCUAUGGGAUUAAUAUUGUUUUUGGGUUGAGACUGAUAUUUGUGAAAUUGGAGUUGUGAUUUGGGGAGCAGAUGGCUCCAGAA
Molecule: long non-coding RNA, 672 nt
Organism: Rosa rugosa (rugosa rose)
Lineage: Eukaryota; Viridiplantae; Streptophyta; Magnoliopsida; Rosales; Rosaceae
Exons: 4
Source: RefSeq, a predicted model, not a curated record